RNAcentral lists this ribosomal RNA (601 nucleotides) under uncultured fungus. RNAcentral describes it as "eukaryotic LSU rRNA". The stretch from base 220 to 374 matches the Rfam family "5.8S ribosomal RNA". The record is from RNAcentral. Lineage: Eukaryota; Fungi.
ACGAAUAUAAAUCGGAAAGCUGUCGCUGGCCCUCUGGGCAUGUGCACGCCGACCGUGUUUCAUAAAUUUCUCACCUGUGAACCUAAUGUAGGAUGCCUCUCUUUCGGGAGGGGGGACCUAUGUCUUCAUAUACAUCUCCGUGUAGAAAGUCUUAGAAUGUUUACUAUCAUAGAGUUGCGACUUCUAGGAGACGCGAAUCUGUGAGAUAAAAGUUAUUACAACUUUCAGCAAUGGAUCUCUUGGCUCUCGCAUCGAUGAAGAACGCAGCGAAAAGCGAUAUGUAAUGUGAAUUGCAGAUCUACAGUGAAUCAUCGAAUCUUUGAACGCACCUUGCGCUCCUCGGUGUUCCGAGGAGCAUGCCUGUUUGAGUGUCAGUAAAUUCUCAACCCCUCUUGAUUGAGGGAGUUUGGAUAGUGGGGGUUGCCGGAGACUUAGGACUCGGGCUCUCCUGAAAUGCAUCGGCUUGCGGUCGACUUUCGACUAUGCGCGACAAGGCUUUCGGCGUGAUAAUGAUCGCCGUUCGCUGAAGUGCAUGAAUGAAAGUUUCGCGCCUCUAAUACGUCGACUCUUAUUAUCUCUUCGGAGAGAAAAGGUCUUCUUU